Molecule: long non-coding RNA, 761 nt
Organism: Terrapene triunguis (Three-toed box turtle)
Lineage: Eukaryota; Metazoa; Chordata; Testudines; Emydidae
Exons: 3
Source: RefSeq, a predicted model, not a curated record
UCUUUUUUUCUUUACUUUUGAUGAUGAUUAGUUUUAAAAACAAACCCAGCUCCAUGUUGUUUGUAAUCAGGGAAAGAAGGGGAGAGCCUGUUGCCAGGGAAAACACACCUUCAUCCCAAACUGCUCGCAGAGAAACAACCGCUUUCUAGCUCUCUGGUUAGAGAAUUUUUCACAUUGGUUAAACAUAAAUUGCUGUGGAAUGACAUUAGACAUUUCUCAACCUGCUGGUUUUGCAUGGCGACAGAUUCUAAAGCUAGAAGGGACCUUCAUCGUCUGCUAGUUGGACCUCCUGCAAAACAAAGGGCCAGAGAACUUCACCCAAUUAUUCCUCUGUCCUGCCCAAGAGCUUCGGGUGGAGCCGGAGAAUAGCUUUAAGAAAGUGACAUUCACUUGUGAUGUAAAGCAGCGGCUCUCAACCUUUCCAGACAUCUGUCCCCCUUUCAGGAGUCUGGUUUGUCUUGUGUACCCCCAAGUUUCACCUCGCUUAAAAAUGACUUGCUCACAAAACCAGACAUAGAAAUACCAAAGUGUCCCAGCGCAGGUUACUGAAAAACUACUGACGUUCUCCUUGUUACCAUAUCAUUAUAAAAUAAAUCCAUUGGAAUAUAAAUAUUGUACUUGCAUUUCAGUGUCUAGUAUUUAGAGCAGGAUAAACAAAUCAUUGUCUGGGUGAAAUUUUAGUUGAUUUAUUGUAUUUAGUCUAUUUAUGCAGUCUGUGGUAAAACAAGGCAAAUAUCUGGAUAAGUUGAUGUACCCCCUGG